Molecule: ribosomal RNA, 497 nt
Filed under: uncultured bacterium
Lineage: Bacteria
Description: partial 16S ribosomal RNA
Rfam family: Bacterial small subunit ribosomal RNA
Source: RNAcentral
GAUGAACGCUGGCGGCGUGCCUAAUACAUGCAAGUCGAGCGAACGGACGAGAAGCUUGCUUUUCUGAUGUUAGCGGCGGACGGGUGAGUAACACGUGGAUAACCUACCUAUAAGACUGGGAUAACUUCGGGAAACCGGAGCUAAUACCGGAUAAUAUUUUGAACCGCAUGGUUCAAAAGUGAAAGACGGUCUUGCUGUCACUUAUAGAUGGAUCCGCGCUGCAUUAGCUAGUUGGUAAGGUAACGGCUUACCAAGGCAACGAUGCAUAGCCGACCUGAGAGGGUGAUCGGCCACACUGGAGCGGAGACGCGGUCCAGACCCCUGCGGGAGGCACCAGUAGGGAAUCUUCCGCAAUGGGCGGAAGCCUGACGGAGCAACGCCGCGUGAGUGAUGAAGGUCUUCGGAUCGUAAAACUCUGUUAUUAGGGAAGAACAUAUGUGUAAGUAACUGUGCACAUCUUGACGGUACCUAAUCAGAAAGCCACGGCUAACUACGUG